GAAGAGAGAGUUAAAGAGGACGUGAAACCGGUGAGGUGGAAACGGACAGAGCUGGCGUAUCUGGCCUGUAUUCAGCCGUGCGCUCGCCGGCGUCAGAGAUGCCGCUCUCCAGAUUGGGACGGUGCCUGGCUGCUGGUGGGUGUGUGGUGCAUUUGCAGGUGGAGUGCGCUGAGGUGCUCGGUGCAGCGGCAUGAGCUCAGCCUUGAGGCCAGCCUCGCAAGAGGUCUGGUACCCGGGCUGUGGGAGUGCUGUUUGUGCUGGGUAGGCAAUCGGGGGCAAUGGUUUCGGGCUCGUGUGGGUGCCGAGCUGGCAUUUGGUGGCGGUCGCAUGCGACACGUACCUACGGUCAGUUCGGUCCUGCCCGAGCUCACAUCUGCUCUUCCUCGGUGUAAAAGCCGGUCAUCUGUCCGACCCGUCUUGAAACACGGACCAAGGAGUUUAGCGUGUGCGCGAGUCAUUGGGUGUUGAAAACCCAAGGGCGCAAUGAAAGUGAAGGUCUCCCUUGCGGAGCUGAUGUGUGAUCCUGGUCACCGCGGUGCAUCCAGGCGCAACAUAGUCCCGUCCUGACCGCUUGCGGUGGGGCGGAGACAGAGCGUACGCGCUGAGACCCGAAAGAUGGUGAACUAUUCCUGAGCAGGAUGAAGCCAGAGGAAACUCUGGUGGAAGUCCGAAGCGAUUCUGACGUGCAAAUCGAUCGUCUGACUUGGGUAUA
Molecule: ribosomal RNA, 712 nt
Filed under: Rotylenchus montanus
Lineage: Eukaryota; Metazoa; Nematoda; Chromadorea; Rhabditida; Hoplolaimidae
Description: partial large subunit ribosomal RNA
Rfam family: Eukaryotic large subunit ribosomal RNA
Source: RNAcentral